GGGAGUAUUGCCAAUGCAUGACCCUGACCCUGACAAAGAUUUUUUUAUCGGACGUCCCCGAGGGGAAGACCUUGAGAGAGAUUGAUAUGAUAAUAAUCACUGUAACUUUUCACGACACAUGAAGCCUUGCUACAUUGCAUGGUUAAGCAUAAAAAAGUAUUCCUGUACCAAGUGUUGGCAUCUGCUAGUGAACUGGCAACGCGUGUGAAAAGGUUCCCAUGUAACGAGCAAAUCCUGCCAAUUGAAUUCUUUCCUAUAGAAGAUGGAGAAUGCGUGCCAUGUAUUUAAGAUUGUAGGAACCCUAACGGCAACGAGAAUGGCAUCUUACCAAGGUUGGCGGGAUCAUGACUUGAUGCAAAUAUCGAGCAACCAUCGAUCGACCUUUAAUGUCAUUAAACAGUUGGGUCUCACUCUGAUAUUCCCUUAAAGAUCGGUUUCCAUUUUCCAACCAAUAUUCUGUUUUUCUGUUCUCACUUAGUUAUCCCUUAACUCCAUGUGAUAUGGGUGUAGGUUGAAGCUCGUUUUGAUGUUUGAGCACGAAGUCAAUACAGGGAAUGCUCUCACCAUGUCAUCAUAUUUGAAAUCAUCAUUUCUAUCUCUAGAAAUUGCAUUGAUAAUUGCUCUCGGAACCAUCAUGAUCAUGAACAACAUUUUGGAAAUUUGGCUUGCAUGUAAAUGAGGGUGGCUAAGAUUCAAAUUUUGAUAAACCACUAAAAAGCUUAAACUUGUAAGUGAGUAUUACAAAAAUAAUUUUACAUCUCUAACAGGAUCUAAU
This 775-nucleotide unclassified non-coding RNA is filed under the name Hevea brasiliensis (rubber tree). Lineage: Eukaryota; Viridiplantae; Streptophyta; Magnoliopsida; Malpighiales; Euphorbiaceae. The record is from RNAcentral.